CUAGGAAAAAAGAGAAGAAAGAAAGAUUGAAACCAGCAGGAAGGAAGAUGUCUCUCAGAAACAAAGGCAAUGUGCAGAAUAUACACAAGGAAGAUAAACCUUUAAGUCUGAGUAUGCCUGUAAUUACAGAAGAAGAAGAGAAUGAAAGUUUGAGUGGAACAGAGUUCACUGCAUCCAAGAAGAGGAGAAAACACUGAACAAAGAGCCUGGUGUAGUUUUUAAUUUUGAGUUUUCUGACAGAAGAAAAGAUUGAUAUUUUGUGUAUUGAACAGGAAGACUGCCAGUAUUAAAAAAAUCCUUCUGGGAAUCUGUAGGUUAUUUCUUGGAAAUUGCAAUACGUAGUUCUAGAAUAAAAGUACAAAAAAUUAGAAUAAGAAUUCUUUAACAUUUUCUUUAAUGAUUUGCAUAAAUGGAGAUAAAACUUGUAUUUAGUAUGUAAUAGAAAAAAUUCUGUUAUUCGCAGAUUGUUACUAUUUCCUAUAAGGUUUUGUGAUACUAUACUGUCCUAAUACAGUCUGGUAAUACUAUUCUAUUUUAUUUAAAAUAUUUUUUAUUGAAAUAUUAAUGUUUAUUACAUGCAAAUAACUAUUUUGUAUCUACAGUCGGAUAAUGGAUUUUUUAUUUUGUAUAUUUAUUCUAUUUUGUAUAUUGUUAAGUGCAAUAAAGUUUUUGCCUUGCUUUAUUUUUUAAUACAUAAAACUUACAUUCUCAUAACGUGAUUGAUAACUUAGGAAGUUCACAAUGUAUUUUCUACUUCUGCAAUUAAAUAUUCUUUAGUGCUUGUUUAUUAUUACUAAAUACUAAUUAAGUACUAACAAGUACUUAAAUACUAAUGUAUUAAGUAUUUAAGUACUUUCUAAUAAAAUCUUUAACAAUAAUAAUGUAAAUUUCAGAAUGUGUCUCUGGUACAGAAUAGUUGAUAUUAACAGAAAAAAAAAAAUCUGUAGCUUCAUGAAUAUGCCACUCUGUUAAUUUCUUGUUCCAGACAUUUUAAUAGAGAUUGCUUGAGCCAUGUUGUUUGAAUUGCUGCCAAUAGCAGACCAUAUCCCUAUCAUGUUGUUGGCUCAACUGUUUUUUUUUUUUCCCUAAUAGAGAUGGAGUAUCGCUAUGUUGCUCAGGCUGGUCUUGAACUCCUGGGCUCAAGCUAUCCUCCUGCCUCAGCCUCCCAAAGUACUGGGAUUAUAGGUGUGAGCUACUGUACCCAGCCUUAACCUGUUUCACAGUUGAUUAUACUUCAUGCUGUUUUCCAGCAUGGUAUUAUUAAGGGAUUUAAAGUUUGGGUUGCAUGCCUGUAAUCCCAGCAUUUUGGGAGGCCGAGGUGGGCGGAUCACGAGGUCAGGAGAUCGAGACCAUCGUGACUAACACAGUGAAACCCCG
This 1377-nucleotide long non-coding RNA is filed under the name Homo sapiens (human). RNAcentral describes it as "HSALNT0212003". Lineage: Eukaryota; Metazoa; Chordata; Mammalia; Primates; Hominidae. The record is from RNAcentral.